RNAcentral lists this ribosomal RNA (497 nucleotides) under uncultured bacterium. RNAcentral describes it as "partial 16S ribosomal RNA". It matches the Rfam family "Bacterial small subunit ribosomal RNA", at positions 28 to 507 of the family's 1533-position model. The record is from RNAcentral.
GAUGAACGCUGGCGGCGUGCCUAAUACAUGCAAGUCGAGCGAACAGACGAGGAGCUUGCUCCUCUGACGUUAGCGGCGGACGGGUGAGUAACACGUGGAUAACCUACCUAUAAGACUGGGAUAACUUCGGGAAACCGGAGCUAAUACCGAAUAUUUUAUUAAACCGCUUGUUUCAAUAUUGAAGGACGGUUUUCUUUUCCCUUUUAGAUGAAUCCGCGCCGCAUUAGCUAGUUGGUAAGGUAACGGCUUACCAAGGCAACGAUGCGUAGCCGACCUGAGAGGGGGAUCGGCCACACUGGAACUGAGACACGGUCCAGACUCCUACGGGAGGCAGCAGUAGGGAAUCUUCCGCAAUGGGCGAAAGCCUGACGGAGCAACGCCGCGUGAGUGAUGAAGGUCUUCGGAUCGUAAAACUCUGUUAUUAGGGAAGAACAAAUGUGUAAGUAACUAUGCACGUCUUGACGGUACCUAAUCAGAAAGCCACGGCUAACUACGUG